This 447-nucleotide ribosomal RNA is filed under the name uncultured bacterium. Its description in RNAcentral is "bacterial SSU rRNA". It matches the Rfam family "Bacterial small subunit ribosomal RNA", at positions 29 to 523 of the family's 1533-position model. The record is from RNAcentral.
AGCGAACGCUGGCGGCAGGCCUAAUACAUGCAAGUCGAACGGAUCCUUCGGGAUUAGUGGCGGACGGGUGAGUAACACGUGGGAACGUGCCCUUUGGUUCGGAACAACUCAGGGAAACUUGAGCUAAUACCGGAUAAGCCCUUCGGGGAAGGAUUUAUCGCCAUUGAGCGGCCCGCGUCUGAUUAGCUAGUUGGUGGGGUAAAGGCCUACCAAGGCGACGAUCAGUAGCUGGUCUGAGAGGAUGAUCAGCCACACUGGGACUGAGACACGGCCCAGACUCCUACGGGAGGCAGCAGUAGGGAAUCUUGCGCAAUGGGCGAAAGCCUGACGCAGCCAUGCCGCGUGAAUGAUGAAGGUCUUAGGAUUGUAAAAUUCUUUCAGCGGGGACGAUAAUGACGGUACCCGCAGAAGAAGCCCCGGCUAACUUCGUGCCAGCCGCCGCGGUAA